RNAcentral lists this ribosomal RNA (253 nucleotides) under [Clostridium] colinum. RNAcentral's name for it is "partial 16S ribosomal RNA". It matches the Rfam family "Bacterial small subunit ribosomal RNA", at positions 524 to 776 of the family's 1533-position model. Lineage: Bacteria; Bacillati; Bacillota; Clostridia; Lachnospirales; Lachnospiraceae. The record is from RNAcentral.
UACGUAUGGUGCAAGCGUUAUCCGGAUUUACUGGGUGUAAAGGGUGAGUAGGCGGUCAUGCAAGUCAUAUGUGAAAUGUCAGGGCUUAACCUUGGCGCUGCAUAAGAAACUGUAUGACUAGAGUGCAAGAGAGGUAAGCGGAAUUCCUAGUGUAGCGGUGAAAUGCGUAGAUAUUAGGAAGAACACCGGUGGCGAAGGCGGCUUACUGGACUGUUACUGACGCUGAGUCACGAAAGCGUGGGGAGCAAACAGG